Non-coding RNA from Brachypodium distachyon (stiff brome), 125 nucleotides. NCBI's taxonomy places the organism in Eukaryota, Viridiplantae, Streptophyta, Magnoliopsida, Poales, Poaceae. The record is from Rfam.
CAGCUACUCCCUCCGAUCCUAAAUUGUUGUUGAAAUAUUACAUGUAUCUCAAAUUUUUUUAAGAAUAGAUACAUGCAUAUUUGGACAAAUUUGAGACAAGAAUUUAGGAUCGGAAGGAGUAGUAU